CCUACGGGCGGCAGCAGUGGGGAAUUUUGCGCAAUGCUCGUAAGAGUGACGCAGCGACGCCGCGUGAAUGACGAAGGCCUUCGGGUCGUAAAGUUCUUUCGACAGGGUAGAAAAUGCCUAUAAGUGACUGUGUUUGUAUUUACGGUACCUGUAUAAGCAGCCCCGGCUAACUCCGGGCCAGCAGCCGCGGUAAUAAGGGGGGGGCGAGCGUUGUUCGGAGGGACGGGGAGUAAAGGGCACGUAGGCGGUGUUGUAAGUCAUUAGUCAAAGACUAGAGCUCAACUUUAGUAAGGCUAGUGAUACUAUAAUACUAUAGUAUCAGAGAGGAAUGCAGAAUUCCUGGUGUAGCGGUGAAAUGCGUAGAUAUCAGGAGGAAUACCGUUAGCGAAGGCGGCAAUCUGGCUGGAAACUGACGCUGAGGUGCGAAAGCGUGGGUAGCAAACAGGAUUAGAUACCCUGGUAGUC
RNAcentral lists this ribosomal RNA (465 nucleotides) under uncultured bacterium. RNAcentral describes it as "partial 16S ribosomal RNA". It matches the Rfam family "Bacterial small subunit ribosomal RNA", at positions 338 to 795 of the family's 1533-position model. The record is from RNAcentral.